Molecule: non-coding RNA, 149 nt
Filed under: Gorilla gorilla gorilla (western lowland gorilla)
Lineage: Eukaryota; Metazoa; Chordata; Mammalia; Primates; Hominidae
Source: Rfam by way of RNAcentral
GCUGGGUAUGGUGGUGCAUGCCCGUAGUCCCAGCUACUCAGGAGGCCGAGGCAGGAGAAUUGCUUGAACCUAGGAGGCCAGAGGUUGCAGUGAGCUGAGAUGGCGCCACUGCACUCCAGCCUGGGCAACAGAGUGAGACUCUGUCUCAA